UCGCACUCCACCCUCCUGCUGCCGUCAGGUGGGAGAAGCCCCGCCCCACAGCCAGGUGACGGACACAUCAGUCCUCCAAUGGCCAGCAGACACUCCUCGGCCCCGUACCGCUGGUACCGCCCAUACUGCAGAGAGACAGCCCCUCCCCCUCACCUGCACAGGGCAGCGAGUAUCCGAUGACGGGAUGAUGGACGAAGCGCCGCUCACUGAGCCGAGCCUCACAGUAACCACGGAAACAGUCCAGACAGAUCACAUGACGCUCCAAACAUGGGAAGACCACGACCACGUCCCUGAGGAACACACACGAUUAAUCAACCAAUCAUUGCAGCCCUUGACCAAGCUCCACCCCCUUACCGUCUCGUUGCCGUGACAACCUUCUGAUUGACAGAUGCCAUGGAUACGACCCUGAAGGAGGACGUCGUCCCAACAGGACGGACCCUGGAGACAGAAGGUCAAAAUACUGCAUAUAGUACUACUACUGCAGUACUGAUACUAAUACUACAUAUAGUACUGCUACUGCAGUACUCCAUCUAAAAACUACAUAUAGUACUACUAGUACAGUACUGAUACUAAUACUAUAUAUAGUACUACUACUGCAGUACUGAUACUAAUACUACAUAUAGUACUGCUACUGCAGUACUGAUACUAAUACUACAUAUACUACUACUACUGCAGUACUGAUACUAAUACUAGAUAUAGUACUACUACUGCAGUACUGAUACUAAUACUACAUAUAGUACUACUACUACAGUACUGGAACUAAUACUACAUAUAGUACUACUUCUGCAGUACUGGAACUAAUACUACAUAUAGUACUACUACUGCAGUUCUGAUACUAAUACUACAUAUAGUACUACUAUUGCAGUACUGAUACUAAUACUACAUAUGUACUACUACUGCAGUACUGGAACUAAUACUACAUAUAGUACUACUACUGCAGUACUGGAACUAAUACUACAUAUAGUCCUACUAUUGCAGUACUGAUACUAAUACUACAUAUGUACUACUACUGCAGUACUGGAACUAAUACUACAUAUAGUACUACUACUGCAGUACUGGAACUAAUACUACAUAUAGUACUACUACUGCAGUUCUGAUACUAAUACUACAUAUAGUACUACUAUUGCAGUACUGAUACUAAUACUACAUAUGUACUACUACUGCAGUACUGGAACUAAUACUACAUAUAGUACUACUACUGCAGUACUGGAACUAAUACUACAUAUAGUACUACUACUGCAGUUCUGAUACUUAUACUACAUAUAGUACUACUAUUGCAGUACUGAUACUAAUACUAGAUAUAGUACUACUACUAGAUAUAGUACUACUACUGCAGUACUGGAACUAAUACUAGAUAUAGUACUACUACUAGAUAUAGUACUACUACUGCAGUACUGAUACUAAUACUACAUAUAGUACUACUAUUGCAGUACUGAUACUAAUACUACAUAUGUACUACUACUGCAGUACUGGAACUAAUACUAGAUAUAGUACUACUACUGCAGUACUGAUACUAAUACUACAUAUAGUACUACUACUGCAGUACUGAUACUAAUACUACAUAUGUACUACUACUGCAGUACUGGAAGUAAUACUAGAUAUAGUACUACUACUGCAGUACUCUCACCCUGCUCAGCAUCAUGGUCGUCUGUCUGCAGCUUUGGCAGCGAACUCUCAAUUUUCCAGGUUGGACCGACCUGCAGCUCUUACAGUACACGUAGAAAGUACUGCAGGUACGCACACCUGGAAUGACAGUAUACACCUGUUCACAUAGAGUACCAACAGAGUACACAAAUACUGCCCCCUACAGUUUGACUGUCUCACCUGCAGCAGUUACCUGUUGCCAGGUGUAGGAUGACCUGGCUGCUACUGACGUUUAACUCUUUGAAAUGUCUUCAGUAUAAACACCUGUAUACACCUGUACACACCUGUGUAAUAUUUUUUUCUCAGGACCCACAUUAAAUGCUUCUAUGAACUACAUGCAGAAGUUCUCUUCAGUUUCUUCUCAUCUCCAGAAGUCCAGCCUGAAGGUGUCUCACCUGAGGGUGACUCACCUGCAGCCUCCUGCCUCCCCUCCAGAACCUCAGCCAGGCCAGGUGAGGAGGGAGAGGAGGGGGGGAGGUGGGAGGAGCCGAGGUCCGGUCGGGUCAGAUGGUUCUGCUGGAGCUGAGAGGAGGAACCAGCGGGAGGUAGAACCACGUGGACGGUGCUCUGCUCCGGGAGGUCGCAGCUCUGGGAGGGGAGCACCAUGAUUAGGUCACACCUAUCGUUAGGCUCAACCCUCACCUGCUGUGAAGCUCCGCCCUCACCUGCAGCGUGGAGGAGUUCUGCAGCUCCGUCCCAGCAAACAGAACCCGGAGCUGCUCGGGUCGGACCCCCUGCUGACUCCCCACCAGCUCCUUCAGCUCGGCCACGCUGGACUCCUCCUGCAGCUCCACGGCCACACCUGGGCCCAGGUUGUACCGCACGAACACUGGACAGGUGAGGGACAGGUCAAGGACAGGUGAAGGACCAGUGAGAGACAGGCGAAGGACAGGUGAGGGACAGUUGAGGGACAGGUGAAGGACCAGUGAGAGACAGGCGAAGGACAGGUGAGGGACAGGUGAGGGACAGAUGAGGGACAGGUGAAAGACAGGUGAAGGACAGGUGAGGGACAGGUGAAAGACAGGUGAAGGACAGGUGAGGGAUAGGUGAGGGACAGGUGAAAGACAGGUGAAGGACAGGUGAGGGACAGGUGAGGGAUAGGUGAGGGACAGGUGAAAGACAGGUGAAGGACAGGUGAGGGACAGGUGAAAGACAGGUGAAGGACAGGUGAGGGAUAGGUGAGGGACAGGUGAAAGACAGGUGAAGGACAGGUGAGGGACAGGUGAGGGAUAGGUGAGGGACAGGUGAAAGACAGGUGAAGGACAGGUGAGGGACAGGUGAAGGACAGGUGAGGGACAGGUGAGGGACAGGUGAAAGACAGGUGAAGGACAGGUGAGGGACAGGUGAGGGACAGUUGAGGGACAGGUGAGGGACAGUUGAGGGACAGGUGAGGGACAGGUGAAGGACAGGUAACAGUCAUUAUAUUCCAGCAUUGAAUCAAGAUAAUUAUCGACUUAUUGAUCAACAUUCAUUAAUUAAUCAACCAAUCACAGCAGCUCUGACAUCACUGAUUUCACACCUGCGUACUUCCUGUUUAAAAACUAAAGCAUCUGCAGUAAUACCACGUUAAAUACUGUGUACUUUUACUUCCACUACUACUACAUCAUACAUUUGAACAGUUUGUUGGAGUCACAUCACAUGUUCAAAGUUUCUCUGCAGCAUCAUGUGGAAAAACAUCACGUUAACCAGUCAUACAUGUACACAUGUAAAUCCAUCAUGUCAUACAUGCACAUAAGUUUCCCUGAUGAGGGAUCAGUAAAGAAGAUCUCUUUGGUUAAAGUAUCUGCAGUAGUAUUACUUUAAAUAUUGUGUACUUUUACUACUUUAAAUACCGUGUACUUUACUGCUGUCUCCUCAUUGACACUCUCAGCUGGAACUAUUGAUUAGUGAUUGAUUAUUGAUUACAUGGAAACAGAGUUAUUGAUUAAACUUAUAGAGGAACCAGCAGAAGCAGAUCAGUUGAGGACAGAACCUCAGACCGUUCAGAGAGAGUUAGUUUAGCUUCAGAACCCGGUGUAGUUCAUUAGAACCCGGUGUAGUCCGGUGGAACCCCGUAUAGUCCGGUAGAACCCGGUAUAGUUCAUUGCAACCCGGUGUAGUCCGGUAGAACACGGUAGAACGCAGCAGAACUCACCGAUCAUCUGUUUUCGUCCUUCAUGUGCUCAGACUGCGCAUGCGUGCCGUGGUGUGUUCUGGGAGCUGUGGUCCCACUGAGGGGUCGAUGCGUCGUGACGUUGGCCGGCUGAACUACACAGUGGAGUGACGUCACGGAAAGGCCCCGGAAGUACAGGUUGUCGUUCUUUUCCGCUGGAAGAACCGGAGCCGAGUUGCUCCGAGUCUCUCCGAACCGUCAGCCCGGUCUGAGAUGAGUCCACAGCACCGGAACCGGCCCGGUGAGCCUGCUACAGAGCACACCAGCAGAGAUAGUUCAGCUUCAGACUCUGGAGGACUGAAGACAUGAAGGAGAGGAACAGAUGGAGAGCUUCAUAUGAACACCAUGACGAUGAGAUCCUGUUUCCUAGGAAGGUAACAACUGAUCACACUGGAACUGUUAAUGAAGGCACGUUUAAGGUGGAAACCAGAAUAAUCCUUCUAUGAGAUGCCACCAGUAGCUGCAUCACAGCAAACAGGAACAGAUGGACAGGUAGAGAACAGGAAGAGGUUCUAGCAGGUUCUCUUACAGGGUGCAGCUCCUGGAGAUCGGAUGGAUCGUGUUCCAGAGAUCUGGACGUCUCUGAGCACCACCUGAUAGGAGAACUGAGUCUAAACCACCACCUUUAGCCAAUUCACUAUUUAACCCGCUUGAUGCACUCAUUUACAGGCAAAUAUUGUUUUCUUGUCUGAAAAAAAUCAAAAAAUUCCAAAAAAAAAUUCUACAAAACUCUACAAAAAUUCUACAAAAAUUCCAAUAAUUCCUUAAAAAUUUCAGUUAAAAAAAACAACUUUGGCAAGAGAAUUCUUGUGAAUAUUUUCAAAAAAUGAGUAAAAAUCUUCCAAAAAAAUCCUAAAACUAUCUAAAGUGAUUCCAUAUAUAUCAGUAAAAAUUUCUUUAAGAACAUUCACAUAAAAAUCA
This is a long non-coding RNA of Amphiprion ocellaris (clown anemonefish), 4717 nucleotides long. RefSeq lists it as uncharacterized. NCBI's taxonomy places the organism in Eukaryota, Metazoa, Chordata, Actinopteri, Pomacentridae. The transcript is spliced from 4 exons. The record is from RefSeq and is a predicted model, not a curated record.